This 88-nucleotide transfer RNA is filed under the name Finegoldia magna. RNAcentral describes it as "tRNA-Ser". It matches the Rfam family "tRNA". From Rfam's summary of the family: Transfer RNA (tRNA) molecules are approximately 80 nucleotides in length. Their secondary structure includes four short double-helical elements and three loops (D, anti-codon, and T loops). Further hydrogen bonds mediate the characteristic L-shaped molecular structure. tRNAs have two regions of fundamental functional importance: the anti-codon, which is responsible for specific mRNA codon recognition, and the 3' end, to which the tRNAs corresponding amino acid is attached (by aminoacyl-tRNA synthetases). tRNAs cope with the degeneracy of the genetic code in two manners: having more than one tRNA (with a specific anti-codon) for a particular amino acid; and 'wobble' base-pairing, i.e. permitting non-standard base-pairing at the 3rd anti-codon position. RNAcentral also lists the same sequence under 2 other names. The record is from RNAcentral. Lineage: Bacteria; Bacillati; Bacillota; Tissierellia; Tissierellales; Peptoniphilaceae.
GGAGUAUUACUCAAGAGGUUAAGAGGGUUGUUUGCUAAACAACUAGGGCAUUACUGCUGCGUAGGUUCGAUUCCUACAUGCUCCGCCA